GGAGAGAUGGCUCAGAGGUUAAGAGCAUUUGACUGCUCUUCUGAAGGUUCUGAAUUCAAAUCUCAGCAACCACA
RNAcentral lists this transfer RNA (74 nucleotides) under Mus musculus (house mouse). RNAcentral describes it as "tRNA-Ser". Lineage: Eukaryota; Metazoa; Chordata; Mammalia; Rodentia; Muridae. The record is from RNAcentral.